Molecule: unclassified non-coding RNA, 610 nt
Filed under: Hevea brasiliensis (rubber tree)
Lineage: Eukaryota; Viridiplantae; Streptophyta; Magnoliopsida; Malpighiales; Euphorbiaceae
Source: RNAcentral
UGAUAAUUUUUUCAACAUAAUAUAUGCAUUAUUUAAUUUUUAAUAAAAUAUUUUAAAUAUAAUUAAAAUUAAUAACAUUUAUAUUUUCUAAAAGAUAUUAUUUUUUAUUAAUAAAUCAAUUAAAAAUACUUAGACAUGCGCAUGAGAAAGAAGAAUGUCAAUUUUAAUCCUCCAACUUCACCAAAACUCAUCCAAUAAAAAGUUCAAAAAUUGGUGUGAAAAGGGCCAGAAAGAUGGAAAACAUAGAAAUUGACUGGAAAAUAUUAAUAAAUUUAUAUUUUCACAAGUUUCUCUAUAACCAAAAUGACUGGAAAAUCAUUUGUUUCUUUACGUCAUCCAGCAUAGAAAAAUGGAAAACAAAAAUCCUUCUUUCCCGACUCUUCCUUUAUUUCUACCCAUUCUCAAUACCUUCCUCCAACCAUACAAAGGGUAGAAAAAAGGUGCUUGGAAUAAGCCUAUUAAUGAUGAUCUGAUAGACUAAUAUCGUUUGUUUCUGCUCAACUCUUAGAGGAAGUAUAGUUACGAAUAAAACUCGAGAUGAAUGAAUGAAAGAAAUGGAAGAGUGAGGAUGAAGCAGUUUAACCUACCUCCAGUGCACUGGACGCUGUAU